CUUGGAAGCUGAUUUAGAGCAUCUUUAGGUGAUGGAGGAUGGCUCCAUCCCUUGGUUUUCCCAUUGAGAGCACGGCUGGGAUGCAGGAAUUGGGAUUUCAUGGCUCCAUGCUUUGCUUUCCCACUUGGAAGCUGGUUUAAGGCAUCUUUAGGUGAUGGGGGAUGGCUCCAUCCCUUGGUUUUCCCAUUGAGAGCAAGGCUGGGAUGUGGGAAUUGGGAUUUCAUGGCUCCAUGCCUUGCUUUCCCACUUGGAAGCUGGUUUAAAGCAUCUUUAGGUGAUGGAGGAUGGCUCCAUCCCUUGGUUUUCCCAUUGAGAGCACGGCUGGGAUGCAGGAAUUGGGAUUUCAUGGCUCCAUGCCUUGCUUUCCCACUUGGAAGCUGGUUUAAGGCAUCUUUAGGUGAUGGAGGAUGGCUCCAUCCCUUGGUUUUCCCAUUGAGAGCACGGCUGGGAUGCAGGAAUUGGGAUUUCAUGGCUCCAUGCUUUGGUUUUCCUACUUGGAAGCUGCUUUAGGGCAUCUUUAGGGGAUGGAGGAGGGCUCUGUGCCUCAGUUUCCCCACUGAGAGCAGGAUUGGGAUGAGGGACUUGGGAUUUCAUGGCUCCAUGCCUUGGUUUUCCCACUUGGAAGCUGCUUUUGGGCACCUUUAGGGCAUGGGGGGGGGUCCUGUGCCUCAGUUUCCCCAUGCUCAGCCCCACUUCAACACUAAGGGAGCUUCCGGGCUCUGUUUCCC
Molecule: long non-coding RNA, 728 nt
Organism: Pezoporus occidentalis (night parrot)
Lineage: Eukaryota; Metazoa; Chordata; Aves; Psittaciformes; Psittacidae
Exons: 7
Source: RefSeq, a predicted model, not a curated record